This 460-nucleotide ribosomal RNA is filed under the name uncultured bacterium. RNAcentral describes it as "partial 16S ribosomal RNA". It matches the Rfam family "Bacterial small subunit ribosomal RNA", at positions 338 to 795 of the family's 1533-position model. The record is from RNAcentral.
CCUACGGGUGGCAGCAGUGAGGAAUAUUGGUCAAUGGACGAGAGUCUGAACCAGCCAAGUAGCGUGAAGGAUGACUGCCCUAUGGGUUGUAAACUUCUUUUAUAAAGGAAUAAAACGAGGCACGUGUGCCUUUUUGCAUGUACUUUAUGAAUAAGGAUCGGCUAACUCCGUGCCAGCAGCCGCUGUAAUACGGAGGAUCCGAGCGUUAUCCGGAUUUAUUGGGUUUAAAGGGAGCGUAGAUGGGUUGUUAAGUCAGUUGUGAAAGUUUGCGGCUCAACCGUAAAAUUGCAAUUGAUACUGGCAGUCGUGAGUACAGUUGAGGUAGGCGGAAUUCGUGGUGUAGCGGUGAAAUGCUUAGAUAUCACGAAGAACCCCGAUUGCGAAGGCAGCUUACUAAACUGUGACUGACAUUGAUGCUCGAAAGUGUGGGUAUCAAACAGGAUUAGAUACCCUAGUAGUC